AGUGAACGCUGGCGGUAGGCCUAACACAUGCAAGUCGAACGGCAGCACAGAGGAGCUUGCUCCUUGGGUGGCGAGUGGCGGACGGGUGAGGAAUACAUCGGGAUCUACUCUGUCGUGGGGGAUAACGUAGGGAAACUUACGCUAAUACCGCAUACGACCUACGGGUGAAAGCAGGGGAUCUUCGGACCUUGCGCGAUUGAAUGAGCCGAUGUCGGAUUAGCUAGUUGGCGGGGUAAAGGCCCACCAAGGCGACGAUCCGUAGCUGGUCUGAGAGGAUGAUCAGCCACACUGGAACUGAGACACGGUCCAGACUCCUACGGGAGGCAGCAGUGGGGAAUAUUGGACAAUGGGCGCAAGCCUGAUCCAGCCAUACCGCGUGGGUGAAGAAGGCCUUCGGGUUGUAAAGCCCUUUUGUUGGGAAAGAAAUCCAGCUGGCUAAUAC
RNAcentral lists this ribosomal RNA (442 nucleotides) under Stenotrophomonas maltophilia. RNAcentral describes it as "bacterial SSU rRNA". It matches the Rfam family "Bacterial small subunit ribosomal RNA", at positions 29 to 465 of the family's 1533-position model. The record is from RNAcentral. Lineage: Bacteria; Pseudomonadati; Pseudomonadota; Gammaproteobacteria; Lysobacterales; Lysobacteraceae.